AGAAUCAACGCUGGCGGCGUGCCUAACACAUGCAAGUCGAACGAGAAAGUGGAGCAAUCCAUGAGUAAAGUGGCGCACGGGUGAGUAACACGUGACUAACCUACCCUUGAGUGGGGGAUAACCUAGAGAAAUCUGGGCUAAUACCGCAUAAUACCUGGGUCAAGGAGCAAUUCGCUUAAGGAGGGGGUCGCGGCCGAUUAGUUAGUUGGCGGGGUAAUGGCCCACCAAGACUAUGAUCGGUA
Molecule: ribosomal RNA, 242 nt
Filed under: uncultured bacterium
Lineage: Bacteria
Description: partial small subunit ribosomal RNA
Rfam family: Bacterial small subunit ribosomal RNA
Source: RNAcentral